This 64-nucleotide transfer RNA is filed under the name Arytainilla spartiophila (broom psyllid). RNAcentral's name for it is "tRNA-Phe". The record is from RNAcentral. Lineage: Eukaryota; Metazoa; Arthropoda; Insecta; Hemiptera; Psyllidae.
UCUCUAAAUAGUUUAAAAAGAACAAGACUUUGAAGAAGUUAAGGUAGUGUAAACUUUUGGAGGA